RNAcentral lists this ribosomal RNA (253 nucleotides) under uncultured bacterium. RNAcentral describes it as "partial 16S ribosomal RNA". It matches the Rfam family "Bacterial small subunit ribosomal RNA", at positions 524 to 776 of the family's 1533-position model. The record is from RNAcentral.
UACGUAGGGGGCUAGCGUUGUCCGGAUUUAUUGGGCGUAAAGAGCGUGUAGGCGGCCAGGUAGGUCCGUUGUGAAAACUAGAGGCUUAACCUCUAGACGUCGAUGGAAACCAUCUGGCUAGAGUCCGGAAGAGGAGAGUGGAAUUCCUGGUGUAGCGGUGAAAUGCGCAGAUAUCAGGAAGAACACCCGUGGCGAAGGCGGCUCUCUGGGACGGUACUGACGCUGAGACGCGAAAGCGUGGGGAGCGAACAGG